Long non-coding RNA from Lagenorhynchus albirostris (white-beaked dolphin), 743 nucleotides. RefSeq lists it as uncharacterized. The record is from RefSeq and is a predicted model, not a curated record. Lineage: Eukaryota; Metazoa; Chordata; Mammalia; Artiodactyla; Delphinidae. The transcript is spliced from 2 exons.
AUUCAUUCAUUCUUCCUGUACUCCAGGCCCUGCACGAGGAUAUAGCUACGAACAAGAUGAUACAGACUCUUUUCAUAAUCUGUUCUCAGACGCCAAAAGCUGUCCUUCCCUACCUUGCUUCCCCCGAUGCUCCAGGCAGGAGCCCAUAAUCUCCAGUAUAUCAAAGAGGCCCCAUGCAAAGCACAGGACAGGCUCUACCUGCCUUAGAAGCUGACUCACUGGGAUGGGGCCAAAAGGUUCCUGAAGCAGUUAUACUAAUUAUCUUUCCCAUCUCCUCUUGCCACACCCUCCAAAGGAGAGAGGAGAAAAGAAAACCACCAAGCUGAGUUAAGUUGCUUCACUUGAAAGGUCUACUGGGCUUUAUAGAACAAAACAGCUGACUGGGAAGGGUGGGGCGGAGGGUUGACGGUCAGCCUGCAGAGGCUUGUAGAUGGCCCGAUCUCUCUCUUCCACCUGUCCUUCCCUCUGGCUGCUCCCUUUGGGCCUGGGGCUGAUUCACAGUGGGAGUGUCUCCUCCAGGCUCUGACUGGGAGCACUCUAGGGUCAAGAGUCCCACAGGAGUCCAGACCUGAUGAGCUGCUCAAGUCCCCUCUGUGCCCAGCAUCAUCCCCCUACUGGGUGAUUCUAUCUACACUUACUACCAUUGCUCAAAUGGCUCUCUUUAGAAACUGGUUUUGAAUUAGUAAUAGUAGCCUUUUGUCAUGUAUUUACUCAACAAUAAUAAAGCAGCUAAUUUACUGUAA